GUUGUAUGGUUAAGUGACUAAGCGUACACGGUGGAUGCCUGGGCAGUCAGAGGCGAUGAAGGACGUACUAACUUGCGAUAAGCGCAGAUAAGGCAGUAAGAGCCGUUUGAGUCUGCGAUUUCCGAAUGGGGAAACCCAACUGCAUAAGCAGUUACUGUUAACUGAAUACAUAGGUUAACAGAGCAAACCGGGGGAACUGAAACAUCUAAGUACCCCGAGGAGAAGAAAUCAACCGAGAUUCCGGUAGUAGCGGCGAGCGAACCUGGAUUAGCCCUUAAGCACUCGGUGAAGUAGGUGAACAAGCUGGAAAGCUUGGCGAUACAGGGUGAUAGCCCCGUAACCGACGCUUCAUCGAGCGUGAAAUCGAGUAGGGCGGGACACGUGAUAUCCUGUCUGAAUAUGGGGGGACCAUCCUCCAAGGCUAAAUACUCCUGACUGACCGAUAGUGAACCAGUACCGUGAGGAAAGGCGAAAAGAACCCCUGUGAGGGGAGUGAAAUAGAACCUGAAACCGUGUACGUACAAGCAGUAGGAGCACCUUCGUGGUGUGACUGCGUACCUUUUGUAUAAUGGGUCAGCGACUUAUAUUCAGUGGCAAGGUUAACCGUAUAGGGGAGCCGUAGCGAAAGCGAGUCUUAACUGGGCGCUCAGUCUCUGGAUAUAGACCCGAAACCGGGUGAUCUAGCCAUGGGCAGGUUGAAGGUUGAGUAACAUCAACUGGAGGACCGAACCGACUAAUGUUGAAAAAUUAGCGGAUGACUUGUGGCUAGGGGUGAAAGGCCAAUCAAACUCGGAGAUAGCUGGUUCUCCCCGAAAGCUAUUUAGGUAGCGCCUCGGACGAAUACUACUGGGGGUAGAGCACUGUUAAGGCUAGGGGGUCAUCCCGACUUACCAACCCUUUGCAAACUCCGAAUACCAGUAAGUACUAUCCGGGAGACACACGGCGGGUGCUAACGUCCGUCGUGGAGAGGGAAACAACCCAGACCGCCAGCUAAGGUCCCAAAGUAUUGCUAAGUGGGAAACGAUGUGGGAAGGCUCAGACAGCUAGGAUGUUGGCUUAGAAGCAGCCAUCAUUUAAAGAAAGCGUAAUAGCUCACUAGUCGAGUCGGCCUGCGCGGAAGAUGUAACGGGGCUAAGCAAUACACCGAAGCUGCGGCAAUAUCUUUUAGAUAUUGGGUAGGGGAGCGUUCUGUAAGCCGUUGAAGGUGAAUCGUAAGGUUUGCUGGAGGUAUCAGAAGUGCGAAUGCUGACAUGAGUAACGACAAAGGGGGUGAAAAACCUCCUCGCCGGAAGACCAAGGGUUCCUGUCCAACGUUAAUCGGGGCAGGGUGAGUCGACCCCUAAGGUGAGGCCGAAAGGCGUAAUCGAUGGGAAACGGGUUAAUAUUCCCGUACUUCUGACUAUUGCGAUGGGGGGACGGAGAAGGCUAGGUGGGCCAGGCGACGGUUGUCCUGGUUCAAGUGCGUAGGCUUGAGAGUUAGGUAAAUCCGGCUCUCUCUAAGGCUGAGACACGACGUCGAGCUACUACGGUAGUGAAGUCAUUGAUGCCAUGCUUCCAGGAAAAGCCUCUAAGCUUCAGAUAGUCAGGAAUCGUACCCCAAACCGACACAGGUGGUCGGGUAGAGAAUACCAAGGCGCUUGAGAGAACUCGGGUGAAGGAACUAGGCAAAAUGGUACCGUAACUUCGGGAGAAGGUACGCUCUUGAUGGUGAAGUCCCUCGCGGAUGGAGCUGACGAGAGUCGCAGAUACCAGGUGGCUGCAACUGUUUAUUAAAAACACAGCACUGUGCAAAAUCGCAAGAUGACGUAUACGGUGUGACGCCUGCCCGGUGCCGGAAGGUUAAUUGAUGGGGUUAGCGCAAGCGAAGCUCUUGAUCGAAGCCCCGGUAAACGGCGGCCGUAACUAUAACGGUCCUAAGGUAGCGAAAUUCCUUGUCGGGUAAGUUCCGACCUGCACGAAUGGCGUAAUGAUGGCCACGCUGUCUCCACCCGAGACUCAGUGAAAUUGAAAUCGCUGUGAAGAUGCAGUGUACCCGCGGCUAGACGGAAAGACCCCGUGAACCUUUACUACAGCUUGGCACUGAACAUUGAACCUACAUGUGUAGGAUAGGUGGGAGGCUAUGAAGACGUGACGCCAGUUGCGUUGGAGCCGUCCUUGAAAUACCACCCUUGUAUGUUUGAUGUUCUAACUUAGACCCGUUAUCCGGGUUGAGGACAGUGCCUGGUGGGUAGUUUGACUGGGGCGGUCUCCUCCCAAAGAGUAACGGAGGAGCACGAAGGUGGGCUAAUCACGGUUGGACAUCGUGAGGUUAGUGCAAUGGCAUAAGCCCGCUUAACUGCGAGAAUGACGGUUCGAGCAGGUGCGAAAGCAGGUCAUAGUGAUCCGGUGGUUCUGUAUGGAAGGGCCAUCGCUCAACGGAUAAAAGGUACUCCGGGGAUAACAGGCUGAUACCGCCCAAGAGUUCAUAUCGACGGCGGUGUUUGGCACCUCGAUGUCGGCUCAUCACAUCCUGGGGCUGAAGUCGGUCCCAAGGGUAUGGCUGUUCGCCAUUUAAAGUGGUACGCGAGCUGGGUUUAGAACGUCGUGAGACAGUUCGGUCCCUAUCUGCCGUGGGCGUUGGAAGAUUGAAGGGGGCUGCUCCUAGUACGAGAGGACCGGAGUGGACGAACCUCUGGUGUUCGGGUUGUGUCGCCAGACGCAUUGCCCGGUAGCUAAGUUCGGAAUUGAUAAGCGCUGAAAGCAUCUAAGCGCGAAGCGAGCCCUGAGAUGAGUCUUCCCUGACAGUUUAACUGUCCUAAAGGGUUGUUCGAGACUAGAACGUUGAUAGGCAGGGUGUGUAAGCGUUGUGAGGCGUUGAGCUAACCUGUACUAAUUGCCCGUGAGGCUUAACCAUACAACACCCAAGGGGUUUUGUA
RNAcentral lists this ribosomal RNA (2915 nucleotides) under Vibrio cholerae. RNAcentral describes it as "bacterial LSU rRNA". It matches the Rfam family "Bacterial large subunit ribosomal RNA". The record is from RNAcentral. Lineage: Bacteria; Pseudomonadati; Pseudomonadota; Gammaproteobacteria; Vibrionales; Vibrionaceae.